UAGCCGUAAACGAUACUCGCUAGGUGUCGGCCACGGUGCGACCGUUGUCGGUGCCGUAGGGAAGCCGUGAAGCGAGCCACCUGGGAAGUACGGCCGCAAGGCUGAAACUUAAAGGAAUUGGCGGGGGAGCACAACAACGGGUGGAGCUUGCGGUUUAAUUGGACUCAACGCCGGGAAGCUUACCGGAUAAGACAGCGGAAUGAUUGCCGGGCUGAAGACCCUGCAUGACCAGCUGAGAGGUGGUGCAUGGCGUAGACGUCU
This 261-nucleotide ribosomal RNA is filed under the name uncultured archaeon. RNAcentral describes it as "partial 16S ribosomal RNA". It matches the Rfam family "Archaeal small subunit ribosomal RNA", at positions 748 to 1009 of the family's 1478-position model. The record is from RNAcentral.